UACAGAGGUGCCAAGCGUUAGGCGGAAUCACUGGGCUUAAAGCGCGUGUAGGCGGCCCGGUAAGUCCGCUCUGAAAGUCGGGGGCUCAACCCUCGGAUGCGGGUGGAUACUGUCGGGCUUGAGUGCGGAAGAGGCGAGUGGAAUUCCUGGUGUAGCGGUGAAAUGCGCAGAUAUCAGGAGGAACACCAAUUGCGAAGGCAGCUCGCUGGGACGUUACUGACGCUGAGACGCGAAAGCGUGGGGAGCAAACAGG
Molecule: ribosomal RNA, 253 nt
Filed under: uncultured bacterium
Lineage: Bacteria
Description: partial 16S ribosomal RNA
Rfam family: Bacterial small subunit ribosomal RNA
Source: RNAcentral